Long non-coding RNA from Oncorhynchus tshawytscha (Chinook salmon), 1062 nucleotides. The record is from Ensembl. Lineage: Eukaryota; Metazoa; Chordata; Actinopteri; Salmoniformes; Salmonidae.
AGGACUGGACUUACUGCAGGUGGGGAAAUAGGAGGACUGGACUUACUGCAGAGGGGGAAAUAGGAGGACUUGACUUACUUCAGGGGGAAAUAGGAGGACUUGACUUACUUCAGGGGGAAAUAGGAGGACUGGACUUACUGCCUGGGGGAAAUAGGAGGACUGGACUUACUGCAGGGGGGAAAUAGGAGGACUGGACUUACUGCAGGGGGAAAUAGGAGGACUGGACUUACUGCAGAGGGGGAAAUAGGAGACUGACUGGAGGGGGAAAUAGGAGGACUGGACUUACUGCAGGGGGAAAAGGAGGGCUGGACUUACUGCAGGGGGGAAAUAGGAGGACUGGACUUACUGCAGGGGGAAAAUAGGAGGACUUACUGCAGGGAGGAAAUAGGAAGAGGACAGAACUUACUGCAGGGGGAUAGGAAUGUUAUAAUAUCUGUACAUUAUAGGAACACCUGUAUUCACAAAAGUACAAUGAUUAAUGUUUUACUUUAGCUUGAGAUUAAGAAUCAGCGGAAGAGACAUUUCUAAGUGCAUGAAGAGGUACAAAAGAUGCCUGUUUUAUUGAAACUCUACUUUCAGUUCCUGUUGAUACUAUGUCCAGUCUUACUUCUGCUAGCACAUGAUAGCAAUAAGUGGAAGAAGGAUUGGGAGACUAACUGCCAAUAACACAAAAAGCUCAACAGAGACAGAGACAUCUUUGUAAUCAGGUUAAAGGACAUCACCCUGGGUGGGGUGAACCUCAGUAGGGGAUAAAAAGGGAAGACGCCAUCUUGAAAACUGAGUGUGUUUACUCUGGAGUUGCAAUCCUUAUUAAACAAACUAACCUCUGAUCAAAUAAGUUUUCUGUGGUCUCGUGUAUGAACUGAGGGCAGAAAUCCCUGACAGGGGGAAAUGGGGUGAGGACUGGACUUACUGCAGGGAGGACUGGACUUACUGUAGGGAGGACUGGACUUACUGCAGGGAGGACUGGACUUACUACAGGGAGGACUGGACUUACUGCAGGGAGGACUGGACUUACUGCAGGGAGGACUGGACUUACUGCAGGGAGGACUGGACUUACUG